UAAGUAGUCACUAUAACUUUUACUGUAGCUUUCAAAUAUGAUUGACAGAAAAACAUGCCAAAAUCUUGAUGGGUUUUCUUCCUACUCAUCUAGUGUAAAAGAAAUGUGAAUCAAUGUUCAAUUUACAAGUACAGAUUAUGAAACUGUUUAUCAGUUCCAAUACACGGGAAAUGUAAGUGUUAUUGUAUAAUAUAUGACCUCUUUGGCCAGUUUGAUCAGCAGUUUUCAAUAAGAAUUUCUGAAAGACAAAGAGGAAUGGGAUUCUAUUGCUGAGUGUAAGGAAAAACGAAACAGACCCUAAACCAAGCAUAGGCAACCUCAGCCCUCCAGAUGUUUUGGGACUACAGUUCCCAUCAUCCCUGACCACUGGUCCUGUUAGCUAGGGUUCAUGGGAGUUGCCUAUGCCUGCCCUAAACUCAGUACGAUACAACAGCAUAAACUAUGGCUUGUGUUGGAUGGCUGCUCAAGCAGGCAGCAACUUGUGCACAUGAUCUUUAUUUUCUGGCGCCUCCCCACCACAGCUCUCUGUACCCCCAAAACCAUCUCACAUCGGUUGGGUGCCUAAAUCAUGAGGGCUGUUUAAUGUGGGGCUGCAGUGCAAAGGGGAAUAUCCCAAAUUUAGGCAAUUCAUCCCCUGCACUGCAGACUCAUACAGGUCCAUACAGAAUAGCUCCUAUUGUUCAGAAUGCUUUUGACCCUACGGAGAGAAAGAUCAGCUGUGUGAGCUUAAGCAACCAAUGGAUAAAACCUUGUCAAAGGGAACAACAGCUAUAACUAAAGUAGAAUAUUAUUUCCUUGGUGUACUGUUAAGAACAUUUUAGAAGAAACUGCUCUGUAAAUUCUUCACUCCAUACAUAUGGAUCAGUCCAUAUAGUAUUUUUUCUCUUAUGGAUUAGUACAGCCAGCAUAUCUUGAAAUUUAUCAUCCCAAGGAAAACUAAACAUAACAGUCAAAUGUUAUGGUUGUAGCAUGAUCAUGUAAAAAUGAAUCAUGCAAACCAAUUAUUUCCUUGUUAGUUUCUAAAUAUUUUAUUGGUUGAAAUGAAUUUACUUCACAAUAUGUACCAUUCUUUAAUUCAUAGCAUAAUUAAACUAUCCUACUUUGACUUUAUCAUAUCUAUUUGAAUACAGUCCAGUAUAAUUGCCAGUGCAGUGCAUAAGGACAUACAACCCACAGUAAAAUCAAUACAGUAGAGCAAAAACUAAAAUAAAACAAAUUCACAGUUAAAAACCCUCAGCAGAUUAAAAG
Podarcis raffonei (Aeolian wall lizard) is the source of this 1248-nucleotide long non-coding RNA. RefSeq lists it as uncharacterized. NCBI's taxonomy places the organism in Eukaryota, Metazoa, Chordata, Lepidosauria, Squamata, Lacertidae. The record is from RefSeq and is a predicted model, not a curated record. The transcript has 2 exons.